UACGGAGGAUGCGAGCGUUAUCCGGAUUUAUUGGGUUUAAAGGGUGCGCAGGCGGUCUGUUAAGUCAGCGGUCAAAGCCCGGGGCUCAACCCCGGCCCGCCGUUGAAACUGGCAGUCUCGAGUUGGAGAGAAGUAUGCGGAAUGCGCGGUGUAGCGGUGAAAUGCAUAGAUAUUAGGAGGAACACCAGUGGCGAAGGCGAUUUGCUGGGCCAUCACUGACGCUGAGGUACGAAAGCGUGGGGAGCAAAUAGG
RNAcentral lists this ribosomal RNA (252 nucleotides) under uncultured Bacteroidales bacterium. RNAcentral describes it as "partial 16S ribosomal RNA". It matches the Rfam family "Bacterial small subunit ribosomal RNA", at positions 524 to 776 of the family's 1533-position model. The record is from RNAcentral. Lineage: Bacteria; Pseudomonadati; Bacteroidota; Bacteroidia; Bacteroidales.